This 328-nucleotide ribosomal RNA is filed under the name uncultured eukaryote. RNAcentral describes it as "partial 18S ribosomal RNA". It matches the Rfam family "Eukaryotic small subunit ribosomal RNA", at positions 1470 to 1796 of the family's 1831-position model. The record is from RNAcentral.
CCCUUAGAUGUCCUGGGCCGCACGCGCGUUACACUGAUGCAUUCAACGAGCUUAUAACCUUGGCCGAGAGGCCUGGGCAAUCUUGUUAACGUGCAUCGUGAUAGGGAUAGAUUAUUGAAAUUAUUAAUCUUGAACGAGGAAUUCCUAGUAAACGCAGAUCAUCAAUCUGCAUUGAUUACGUCCCUGCCCUUUGUACACACCGCCCGUCGCACCUACCGAUUGGAUGGUCCGGUGAAGCCUCGGGAUUGUGGUUCUUGCCGCUUUAUUGUGGCGCGACCGCGAGAACUUGUCUAAACCUUAUCAUCUAGAGGAAGGUGAAGUCGUAACA